UUUUUUUUUUUUUUUUUGUCUUUUUAGGGCCGCACCCUCAGCAUUUGGAGGUUCCCAGGCUAGGGGUCAAAUAGGAGCUGCAGCUAUUGAACUCUGAUCCUGAUCUGUGCUUCUUCAUCUGAAUUCGGGAGCUUCUAAUGGCAGAAUGGGGUCCUUGUGCUUUUGCAGCAUUUCUGAAAGCCAGGGAACCGUCCUGUAUUUAAGUGGGAAGAGGUUGUCAAGCUAACAGAGGAGUCUCUGUUCUGGCUGGGAUCACCAACUCUCCAGGUCACAGCUGGUCACAGUAGACAGCUGUCUUGGGCAAUUGGGAAAUAAAUGAAUUUAAUCAGUGCUCUCUUUUUAAAAAUAGGACCAGGAUGAGGGUGGCAAUUUUAAAAAUUGGAAGCCACUUGGUCUAGCUUCAUUCCUCUCUUCACCUCAAUGCCAUUUUAUGGGAAGAGACGUUGAGGACUAUUUUGGAGCCUAAGUACCGUAAUCUCCAAAGUAGCCUGCAGUUUGAUGAGCCUGGGGGUCAGGGAUUAUCAUUUUUGUCUUAAAAUGGAAAGGAACUAACAUUUAUCAGGGGUCUUUUAUGUGUCAAGUGCUUUACAGGUAAUCUCAUUAAUUAUCCCAAUAGGAGUUCCCGUCAUGGCGCAGUGGAAAUGAAUCCAACUAGGAACCAUGAGGUUGCGGGUUCCAUCCCUGGCCUUGCUCAUGGGUUAACGAUCCGGCGUUGCCGUGAGCUGUGGUGUAGGUUGCAGACGUGGCUCGGAUCCCGCGUUGCUGUGGCUCUGGCGUAGGCCGGUGCCUACAGCUCUGAUUUGACCCCUAGCCUGGGAACCUCCAUAUGCCGCAGGAGCGGCCCAAGAAAUAGCAACAACAACAAAAGACAAAAAAAAAAAAAAAUUAUUACAAUACUCCUUUGGAGUAUGGUACCAUUUUACAGAUGAGAAAAAUAAGGCUCGAGUUAAGUGCUUUACCCCAAGUCUUACUCAUCUCCUCCCUCGACUUAGCUCACUUUAUUUCUUCUGCCUACAGAGGUAAUACUCCACUGGGGGCGAUACUGCCUCUCAGGGAUGUUUGGCAAUGGCUAGAGUCAUUUGGGGUGUCACUCCUGAGGGUGGGGGUCCAUCUCGUGGGGAGGGCCCAGGGAUGCUGCUAAACACCCUCCACUGGGCAGGACAAGCUCCCACGACAAGGAAUUAUCUGGCCCCACAUUGGAAGAGAACUGACUUUGAGAAACUCUGGUCUAGAGAACUCUGUGUCCUUCCUCCUGGGUCACUCCAGGAGGCCCUCCCUUCGUCCCCACAUGGGAGAAGUGGUCCCUCCUUCUAGCCCCUGCUGCCUGCUGCCACCUCUCCUAAUGGAUGCUGAUCAUGCUGCCUCGAACCAGAGCUCUUUGGGUAAAUGGCAUUGGACAGAUAAUCAAUAAAUGCUUGUUGGCUUGACACACAAGGUAGUGCCUGUCUUUCUCUUAAGGUCCUGCUUCAAUUCGGUUGGUAAUUCCUAACAUUCCAGGACUGGAAUGAAAAACCCCACGGCUUCUUUGUCCUCGCCAGAGAAACAGUGGGCUUCCUGUCACUCCAAGUGUGCAAGGUGAGACUGCAUGAACACUUAGUGGUGUGCAUGUAGUGCAAUGCAGAGGUUAAAAACACAGGACUUGUGUCUCAGCAAGGUCCCGAUUUCAGUCAUAGCCCUGCAACUCACUGUGCAAUCCUGGACCUGGUACUGAACCUCAGUCUCCGUUUUCUCGUUUAUGAACUGGAGAUAAUAAUAAUAACCACCUUAGAGGUUUGUUGUGAGGUUCAAACCAGACAAUCCCGCCACAGUGCUUUGCACAGUGCCUGGCAGGCAUCUGAGAAGGUUGGCUAUUACUAUGACGAGGAGAUGCAAGCAGCAAUGAGGUUUCCACUAAAUAACACCAACGUUCCUUCUAACUCUGAAAUUCCCGGAACAUGCUAGAUUCUUUCACACCUCUGUGUCUUUGUUUGCCUUUUUAUCUUUUUAAGCCAACACCCAUGAUAGAUGGAAGUUUCCAGGCUAGGGGUCGAAUCGGAGCUGUAGCUGCCAGCCUACGCCACAGCCACAGCCACAGCAACGUGGGAUCCAAACUGCGUCUGCAACCUACACCACAGCUCACAGCAUUGCCAGAUCCUUGACCCAACUGAGCAAGGCCAGGGGAUCGAACCCGCAUCCUCAUGGAUACUAGUUGGGUUCGUUAGCACUGAACCACGACAGGAACUCCCACACCUCUGUGUCUUUGAACAAGCUGCUCUUUGGGCCCGAAAUGUCGUCUGUCCACACAAGUCUUCCAAGCACCCUCUUCAUUCUUCAAGUCUUAGUUCAAACUGCCACCUUGUCUCUUUUUUUUUUUUUUUUUUUGGCCACCCUGUGACAUAUGGAGUUCUAAGGCUGGGGAUCAGAUCCCAGCAGCAGUUGAGACCUAAGCCACAGCCAUAGCAACACUGGAUCCUUUAACCCACAGUGCCCGACCCGGGGAAAAAACCUUCCACCUGUCGCUGCAGAGAUGCUGCCAAUCCCAUUGCACCACAGUGGGAACUCCGUGCCACCUUUUCUAAGAAGUCUCCUCAAAUUGCCUUCUUUUCUUCUUCCAGCCUGAUUCUCCACCGCAUCCUUCGAUCAUACUGCCUUUUAUAGCAUCUAUUUUGUCUUUGGGGUUUUUUUUUGGCCACGCCCACAGCAUAUGGAAAUUCCUGGGCCAGGGACCGAACCCAUGCCAUGGAGGCAACUCAAACCAGUGCAGUGACAAUGCCGGAUUCUUAACCCACUGUGCCACAAGGGAACUCAUAGAUAUAGACAUAUAGAUAUAUACAGUAUUACAGUUUGUUUUUGUUUUUUGCUUUUCGGGGCUGCACCCGUGGCAUGUGGAAGUUCCCAGGCUAAGGGUCGAAUAGGGGUUGUAGUUGCCAGCCUACACCACAGCCACAGCAACACGGGAUCUGAGCCAUGUCUUCCAACCUACACUGGAGCUCACAGCAAUGCCAGAUCCUUAACCCACUGAGUGAGGCCAGGAAUUGGACCCGCAUCCUCAUGGACACUAGCAGGGUUCUUUACCACUGAGCCACAAUGGGAACUCCAUGUAAUACAGUUUCUUGUAUUAAAUUUUCCCUCUAUCUGAGGGCUCCGUCCAAGGACACGGAUUGGAUCAGAUCUGUCUUUGCACCCCAGCUCCAGAACAGGCCUGUGGAAGCAGCAAUAAACACCUAUGGAACGAAUCCAUAUGUCUGAUUGUAGGAGGUCCUCCAGCAGGCUUCUCCCGUAAAUAUUUAUCAAGUAUCUACCAUGUCCCAGGCACCAUGGACUCUUCACCAACUAACAGAUCAAAUCGGCUUUUUUCCCC
Molecule: long non-coding RNA, 3340 nt
Filed under: Sus scrofa (pig)
Lineage: Eukaryota; Metazoa; Chordata; Mammalia; Artiodactyla; Suidae
Description: lncRNA (ENSSSCG00035058581.1)
Source: RNAcentral